This 427-nucleotide ribosomal RNA is filed under the name uncultured beta proteobacterium. RNAcentral's name for it is "bacterial SSU rRNA". It matches the Rfam family "Bacterial small subunit ribosomal RNA", at positions 355 to 774 of the family's 1533-position model. Lineage: Bacteria; Pseudomonadati; Pseudomonadota; Betaproteobacteria. The record is from RNAcentral.
UGGGGAAUUUUGGACAAUGGGCGAAAGCCUGAUCCAGCCAUGCCGCGUGAGUGAAGAAGGCCUUCGGGUUGUAAAGCUCUUUUAGUCGGAAAGAAAGAGUUGCAAUGAAUAAUUGUGAUUUAUGACGGUACCGACAGAAAAAGCACCGGCUAACUACGUGCCAGCAGCCGCGGUAAUACGUAGGGUGCGAGCGUUAAUCGGAAUUACUGGGCGUAAAGGGUGCGCAGGCGGUCUUGCAAGUCAGAUGUGAAAGCCCCGGGCUUAACCUGGGAAUUGCGUUUGAAACUACAAGGCUAGAGUGCAGCAGAGGGGAGUGGAAUUCCAUGUGUAGCAGUGAAAUGCGUAGAGAUGUGGAAGAACACCGAUGGCGAAGGCAGCUCCCUGGGUUGACACUGACGCUCAUGCACGAAAGCGUGGGGAGCAAACU